GACGUAGGGCGCAAGCGUUGUCCGGAUUUAUUGGGCGUAAAGAGCUCGUAGGCGGCUUGUUGCGUCGUCCGUGAAAACCUGUGGCUCAACUACAGGCUUGCGGUCGAUACGGGCGGGCUGGAGUUCGGUAGGGGAGACUGGAAUUCCUGGUGUAGCGGUGAAAUGCGCAGAUAUCAGGAGGAACACCGGUGGCGAAGACGGGUCUCUGGGCCGAUACUGACGCUGAGGAGCGAAAGCGUGGGGAGCGAUCCGG
This 253-nucleotide ribosomal RNA is filed under the name uncultured bacterium. RNAcentral describes it as "partial 16S ribosomal RNA". It matches the Rfam family "Bacterial small subunit ribosomal RNA", at positions 524 to 776 of the family's 1533-position model. The record is from RNAcentral.